CCUGUCCUAUAAUCGAUAAUCCACGAUUUUAGUUACUUAUAUUAUUAAUUUACAUAUCGCUGUAGAUUGAAUAUUUUUGUAGAAUUUAAUAUUCAAGAUUUUUAAUAAAAAGAAAUCAGGUCAAGGUGUAGUUUAUAUAUAAGAAGAGAUGGGUUACAAUAAGUUUACUUAAACAGUUAAAUUUUUGUAAUAAAAUUUAUAAGGUGGAUUUGAUAGUAAUUUAAAGUAAAUUCUUUAAAUGAUUUUAGCUCUAAAAUAUGCACAUAUCGCCCGUCGCUUUCAUUUUUAAAAUGAAAUAAGUCGUAACAUAGUAGAUGUACUGGAAAGUGUUUCUAGAAAGGUCAAAUUAAAGCUUUAAGAAGCAUUUUAGUUACAUUAAAAAGAAUACUAUAGUUAGUAUAAUUUGAAAAAAAUAAAUUAUUUAAAUUAUUAUUUUAUAUUUUUAUUAAAAAAAGAAAUUUAAUUGUUUUAUUAAUUAGUAUGAAUAAAUAAAUUUAAUUAUAGUAAAUUAGUAUUGUGAAAGAAAUUUUUUUAUUGUAUAAAAGAAAAAUUAAUUUUUUGUACCUUGUGUAUCAGGGUUUAUUAAAUAAAAUUUAUUAAAUUAAAUUUCUCGAAUUUAAAAGAGUUAUUUUUAUAUAGUUUUUAUUGUAGAAUAAAUAUUAUAAAUAUAGAAAUUGAAGUGAAAUGCUAUUCGAUUUUAAAUAUAUCUAGUUUCUUUAGAAAAAAAUUUAAUUUUAUUUUUUUUAUAUUAUUAAAUUUCAUUAAAAAUUUAAUAAUUAAAAUAAAUAAUAUUUUAAGGGAUGAGCUUUAAAAUAAAUAAAUAAAAUUUAAAUAAAAAUUUUUAAUAAGUAGAAUUAUAAGUUUUAAUCUUUAAUAGUGUGUUAUAACUAAUUAAUAUUUAAUUAAAAUUUAUAUUUAAAUUUAUAUUUUAUAUAAAGAUAUAAAUUAAAAUAAAUAAAAUUUAGAAAUAAUGAUAAAAUUAGUAUAAAUUUAUGUAUAAAUUUAUUAGUAAAUUUAGGUUAAAUAAAGGAAUUCGGCAAAGAUAUUUUUCACCUGUUUAUUAAAAACAUGUCCUUUAGAUUAUAAUUUAAGGUCUAGCCUGCCCAAUGAUGAAUUAAAUGGCCGCGGUAUCUUGACCGUGCAAAGGUAGCAUAAUCAUUAGUUUUUUAAUUGAAAGCUUGUAUGAAAGGUUGAAUGAAAAAAUAACUGUCUCUAUUUAAUUUUAUUUGAAUUUUAUUUUUAAGUUAAAAAGCUUAAAUAUUUAUAGAAGACGAGAAGACCCUAUAGAGUUUGAUACUUUAUAAUUAU
RNAcentral lists this ribosomal RNA (1308 nucleotides) under Epamoebus sp. 2 NLG-2014. RNAcentral's name for it is "partial 16S ribosomal RNA". The record is from RNAcentral. Lineage: Eukaryota; Metazoa; Arthropoda; Insecta; Coleoptera; Curculionidae.